This is a long non-coding RNA of Oxyura jamaicensis (ruddy duck), 183 nucleotides long. RefSeq lists it as uncharacterized. Lineage: Eukaryota; Metazoa; Chordata; Aves; Anseriformes; Anatidae. The record is from RefSeq and is a predicted model, not a curated record. The transcript has 3 exons.
UGGUUUUACAUCCUGACAAGAGUGGAAUGGUUUUAAGCUAAAGGAGGGUAGAUCUAGAUGAGAUAUUCAGAAGAAAUUCUUCUCUCAGAGGGUGGAGAGGCACUGGAACAGGUUGUCCAGAGAAGCUGUGGAUGCCCCAUCCUUAGAGGUGUUCAAGGCCAGGCUGGAUGGGGCUUUGGGCAA